GACGAACGCUGGCGGCGUGCCUAACACAUGCAAGUCGAGCGAAAAACUUCGGUUUUUAGCGGCGGACGGGUGAGUAACACGUGGGUAACCUGCCUCAAAGAGGGGGAUAGCCUCCCGAAAGGGAGAUUAAUACCGCAUAUUAUUAGAUCUUCGCAUGGAGAUUUAAUUAAAGGACCACCAUUUCUGGUGAAUCCGCUUUGAGAUGGACCCGCGGCGCAUUAGCUAGUUGGUGAGGUAACGGCUCACCAAGGCGACGAUGCGUAGCCGACCUGAGAGGGUGAUCGGCCACAUGGGGACUGAGACACGGUCCAGACUCCUACGGGAGGCAGCAGUGGGGAAUAUUGCACAAUGGGCGAAAGCCUGAUGCAGCAACGCCGCGUGAGUGAUGAAGGCCUUCGGGUUGUAAAACUCUGUCUUCUGGGACGAUAAUGACGGUACCAGAGGAGGAAGCCACGGCUAACUACGUGCCAGCCGCCGCGGUAA
Molecule: ribosomal RNA, 483 nt
Filed under: uncultured bacterium
Lineage: Bacteria
Description: partial 16S ribosomal RNA
Rfam family: Bacterial small subunit ribosomal RNA
Source: RNAcentral